This 694-nucleotide ribosomal RNA is filed under the name uncultured Gilliamella sp. RNAcentral's name for it is "bacterial SSU rRNA". It matches the Rfam family "Bacterial small subunit ribosomal RNA", at positions 662 to 1357 of the family's 1533-position model. Lineage: Bacteria; Pseudomonadati; Pseudomonadota; Gammaproteobacteria; Orbales; Orbaceae. The record is from RNAcentral.
UAGAAUUCCACGUGUAGCGGUGAAAUGCGUAGAGAUGUGGAGGAAUACCGGUGGCGAAGGCGGCCUUCUGGACAGAUGCUGACGCUGAGAUGCGAAAGCGUGGGGAGCAAACAGGAUUAGAUACCCUGGUAGUCCACGCUGUAAACGAUGUCGAUUUGGAGUUUGUUGCCUAGAGUGAUGGGCUCCGAAGCUAACGCGAUAAAUCGACCGCCUGGGGAGUACGGCCGCAAGGUUAAAACUCAAAUGAAUUGACGGGGGCCCGCACAAGCGGUGGAGCAUGUGGUUUAAUUCGAUGCAACGCGAAGAACCUUACCUGGUCUUGACAUCCACAGAAUCUUGCAGAGAUGCGGGAGUGCCUUCGGGAACUGUGAGACAGGUGCUGCAUGGCUGUCGUCAGCUCGUGUUGUGAAAUGUUGGGUUAAGUCCCGCAACGAGCGUAACCCUUAUCCUUUGUUGCCAUCGGUUAGGCCGGGAACUCAAAGGAGACUGCCGUUGAUAAAGCGGAGGAAGGUGGGGACGACGUCAAGUCAUCAUGGCCCUUACGACCAGGGCUUCACACGUGCUACAAUGGCGUAUACAAGGGAGGCGACCUCGCGAGAGCAAGCGGACCUCAUAAAGUACGUCUAAGUCCGGAUUGGAGUCUGCAACUCGACUCCAUGAAGUCGGAAUCGCUAGUAAUCGUGAAUCAGAAUGU